GGAUGGCAUUUGGACGAUUGGAUCAACAUUUUCUUGAUGUUAGCUAAGUAUUGUCAUUAGUUAGGUAUUGUUAUAGGUUUUGUGUUAUUUAUAGGUUUUAGUAGUUUAUAAUAGUUAUUUAUGGGUUAUGUGACUGCGUCGUCGAUUUCGUUGUGUUAUUUAUGGGUUAUGGGUACAAUAGUUAUUCGUUGUGUUUUGGUACAUUUCCACAUUAGCCUCCGUCGUCGAUUUAUUUGUUCUGGUUCUGAUUCUCUCCGCCGGUUUCUCUGGGUUCUGUGUUCAAAAUCACUUACUUCCAUUUCCAGGCUCUGUUCUGCGUUUUACUGUUAAGGUUUCUUCGUUCUUCAUCUUAAUGUAGCCUUCGUUCCAUUUCCAAACGUAGCCUUCGUCUGGGUUCUUCAUCUUCUGGGUGCUUCAUUCUGUGCGUUUUGGGUUCAGAAACGAAAUAUAAUCAUCCUAUGCAGAAACGAAAUAUGGUCCCAUUCAGAAACAAAAUAUGGUGUGUUCUGUGCUUAGUUCAUAAAUUUAUGAAGGAUCUGCUCGAAGUUUAAUGAUUUACAAAACUGCUCAAAUUGGUUCAUAUGAUUUCUAUUCUUGGGUACACUUAAUUAUAUUCACCUUGAAUUGGUGGAAUUAAUCAAUUAAUUAUAUUCACCUUAACAUGGCAAUUACCAUAAUUUUAUUUCGACUUCAGGCAUGAAUUUCAUUUAGAGAUUAUGUAAAUCGGACUUUUUUUUUAAGUAGUUAAAUUUGAAGAUUUGUUCUCUCAGGUCUCAACUAAGAAUCAAGUCGCCAAACAAGACGCCACUGAGACCAAUCUCGAUUUAAAUCUAGGCUUAAAAGCUGACUAUGGCAAGCACGAAACAAUCCAAAAUUAAUAUCAAAAUAAGAGAGACGGUUGUCAUGGCCUCACUUUCUAUGGCUUUAGAAAUGUUUCGAUUAAUUCAAGAGUUCGGAUCUACUGUAUGUUUUUUAAUCUGGGCUGUUGAAGUUCUUUCAAUCUGUCUCACCAUAUCAAAUGAUAUGAUUUUAUGUUCAUAUAUUAUACACAAUAUUAAUAUGAUGGAAACAAUCCGAAAAUUGACCUGAACAGAGGUAUAAA
RNAcentral lists this long non-coding RNA (1102 nucleotides) under Zostera marina. RNAcentral's name for it is "long non-coding RNA (ZMAR_LNC001758)". The record is from RNAcentral. Lineage: Eukaryota; Viridiplantae; Streptophyta; Magnoliopsida; Alismatales; Zosteraceae.